Molecule: ribosomal RNA, 497 nt
Filed under: uncultured bacterium
Lineage: Bacteria
Description: partial 16S ribosomal RNA
Rfam family: Bacterial small subunit ribosomal RNA
Source: RNAcentral
GAUGAACGCUGGCGGCGUGCCUAAUACAUGCAAGUCGAGCGAACGGACGAGAAGCUUGCUUCUCUGAUGUUAGCGGCGGACGGGUGAGUAACACGUGGAUAACCUACCUAUAAGACUGGGAUAACUUCGGGAAACCGGAGCUAAUACCGGAUAAUAUUUUGAACCGCAUGGUUCAAAAGUGAAAGACGGCUUUGUUGUCCCUAAUAGAUGGAUCCGCGCUGCAUUAGCUAGUUGGUAAGGUAACGGCUUACCAAGGCAACGAUGCAUAGCCGACCUGAGAGGGUGAUCGGCCACACUGGAACUGAGACACGGUCCAGACUCCUACGGGAGGCAGCAGUAGGGAAUCUUCCGCAAUGGGCGAAAGCCUGACGGAGCAACGCCGCGUGAGUGAUGAAGGUCUUCGGAUCGUAAAACUCUGUUAUUAGGGAAGAACAUAUGUGUAAGUAACUGUGCACAUCUUGACGGUACCUAAUCAGAAAGCCACGGCUAACUACGUG